RNAcentral lists this ribosomal RNA (1000 nucleotides) under uncultured bacterium. RNAcentral describes it as "bacterial SSU rRNA". It matches the Rfam family "Bacterial small subunit ribosomal RNA", at positions 344 to 1352 of the family's 1533-position model. The record is from RNAcentral.
CCGAGCAGCAGUGGGGAAUAUUGCCCAAUGGGGGAAAACCUGAUGCAGCGACGCAGCGUGCGGGAUGACGGCCUUCGGGUUGUAAACCGCUUUCAGUAGGGAAGAAGCCUUUGUGGUGACGGUACCUGCAGAAGAAGUACCGGCUAACUACGUGCCAGCAGCCGCGGUAAUACGUAGGGUACGAGCGUUGUCNGGAAUUAUUGGGCGUAAAGAGCUCGUAGGUGGUUGGUCACGUCUGCUGUGGAAACGCAACGCUUAACGUUGCGCGGGCAGUGGGUACGGGCUGACUAGAGUGCAGUAGGGGAGUCUGGAAUUCCUGGUGUAGCGGUGAAAUGCGCAGAUAUCAGGAGGAACACCGGUGGCGAAGGCGGGACUCUGGGCUGUAACUGACACUGAGGAGCGAAAGCAUGGGGAGCGAACAGGAUUAGAUACCCUGGUAGUCCAUGCCGUAAACGUUGGGCACUAGGUGUGGGGGGCAUUCCACGUUCUCCGCGCCGUAGCUAACGCAUUAAGUGCCCCGCCUGGGGAGUACGGUCGCAAGGCUAAAACUCAAAGGAAUUGACGGGGGCCCGCACAAGCGGCGGAGCAUGCGGAUUAAUUCGAUGCAACGCGAAGAACCUUACCAAGGCUUGACAUACACUGGACCGUUCUGGAAACAGUUCUUCUCUUUGGAGCUGGUGUACAGGUGGUGCAUGGUUGUCGUCAGCUCGUGUCGUGAGAUGUUGGGUUAAGUCCCGCAACGAGCGCAACCCUCGUUCUAUGUUGCCAGCACGUGAUGGUGGGAACUCAUAGGAGACUGCCGGGGUCAACUCGGAGGAAGGUGGGGAUGACGUCAAAUCAUCAUGCCCUUUAUGUCUUGGGCUUCACGCAUGCUACAAUGGCUGGUACAGAGAGAGGCGAACCCGUGAGGGUGAGCGAAUCCCUUAAAGCCAGUCUCAGUUCGGAUCGUAGUCUGCAAUUCGACUACGUGAAGUCGGAGUCGCUAGUAAUCGCAGAUCAG